This 253-nucleotide ribosomal RNA is filed under the name uncultured bacterium. RNAcentral describes it as "partial 16S ribosomal RNA". It matches the Rfam family "Bacterial small subunit ribosomal RNA", at positions 524 to 776 of the family's 1533-position model. The record is from RNAcentral.
UACGUAUGGGGCGAGCGUUGUUCGGAUUUAUUGGGCGUAAAGGGCGUGUAGGCGGCUCAUCAAGUCUGGUGUGAAAACUCAAGGCUUAACCUUGCAUCGGCGCUGGAAACUGGUGGGCUUGAGUUCUUGAGGGGAAGCUGGAAUUCCAGGUGUAGGGGUGAAGUGUGUAGAUAUCUGGAAGAACACCGGUGGCGAAGGCGAGCUUCUAGCAGAGGACUGACGCUGAGGCGCGAAAGCGUGGGGAGCAAACAGG